Long non-coding RNA from Rhinopithecus roxellana (golden snub-nosed monkey), 576 nucleotides. RefSeq lists it as uncharacterized. The record is from RefSeq and is a predicted model, not a curated record. The transcript is spliced from 4 exons. NCBI's taxonomy places the organism in Eukaryota, Metazoa, Chordata, Mammalia, Primates, Cercopithecidae.
GGGCCAUGCCCCAGCAGUUCCCUUCCCACACUGCAUUAUUCAGUAAGCACAAAGCAAUAUGGCAGGUGUGAUCAUCAGAGCCCAGCUGGAACGGAAGCUUGUACAAUCAGGAACCUGUCCAGUUUAUUUCCAACCACGUUCCAUGCUCCACUAUUUACCACUCAUAUGGGAAAGUUGUUUAACAUCUGAGCCUCGUUUGUCUGAUCUGUUCACUCGACAGUGAAUUUUACUUAAAAGAUUUCCCAGUGUUCAAGAAGGUGCUGGCCAAUGGAAAAAAAAAAAGUCCCAAAUUUGUAGCAUUUGCCAAUUCCAGUGGUGUAAAUACUCGCACUGUGGGUGAUUCAAGCUACCCAGGAUGAUGGCGCUAAGGUUACAGUGAGUGCCUGGUUCAGUUGCAAGAAUGCCUUGUCCACCCUCCUCUGAGCCUUUGCUCAUGCCUUCCCCUCUACCUGAAACGCAUCCCUGUGGCUUCCCUAGGCUGGCUCCUCUUCAUUUGCAGACUUAAGCUCAAACCAUGUCCUCAGUCAGGUGCGGUGGCUCACGCACCUGUAAUCUCAGCACUUGGGGAGGCUGAGA